This 508-nucleotide ribosomal RNA is filed under the name uncultured bacterium. RNAcentral describes it as "partial 16S ribosomal RNA". It matches the Rfam family "Bacterial small subunit ribosomal RNA", at positions 30 to 523 of the family's 1533-position model. The record is from RNAcentral.
AUUGAACGCUGGCGGCAUGCCUUACACAUGCAAGUCGAACGGCAGCGGGGGAGAAGCUUGCUUUUCCUGCCGGCGAGUGGCGAACGGGUGAGUAAUACAUCGGAACGUGCCCUGUAGUGGGGGAUAACUAGUCGAAAGAUUAGCUAAUACCGCAUACGACCUGAGGGUGAAAGUGGGGGACCGCAAGGCCUCAUGCUAUAGGAGCGGCCGAUGUCUGAUUAGCUAGUUGGUGGGGUAAAGGCCUACCAAGGCGACGAUCAGUAGCUGGUCUGAGAGGACGAUCAGCCACACUGGGACUGAGACACGGGCCAGACUCCUACGGGAGGAAGCAGUGGGGAAUUUUGGACAAUGGGCGAAAGCCUGAUCCAGCAGUGCCGCGUGUGUGAAGAGGGCCUUCGGGUUGUAAAGCACUUUUGUCCGGAAAGAAAUGGCUCUGGUUAAUACCUGGGGUCGAUGACGGUACCGGAAGAAUAAGGACCGGCUAACUACGUGCCAGCCGCCGCCGUAA